RNAcentral lists this ribosomal RNA (301 nucleotides) under uncultured bacterium. RNAcentral's name for it is "partial 16S ribosomal RNA". It matches the Rfam family "Bacterial small subunit ribosomal RNA", at positions 509 to 809 of the family's 1533-position model. The record is from RNAcentral.
CAGCCGCCGCGGUAAUACGUAGGUGGCGAGCGUUGUCCGGAAUCAUUGGGCGUAAAGCGCGCGCAGGCGGAUAGGUCAGUCUGUCUUAAAAGUUCGGGGCUUAACCCCGUGAUGGGAUAGAAACUGCCAAUCUAGAGUAUCGGAGAGGAAAGUGGAAUUCCUAGUGUAGCGGUGAAAUGCGUAGAUAUUAGGAAGAACACCAGUGGCGAAGGCGACUUUCUGGACGAAAACUGACGCUGAGGCGCGAAAGCCAGGGGAGCGAACGGGAUUAGAUACCCCUGUAGUCCCUGUCUCUUAUACA